GGGUGGAUGAGAAAAAUAAAGAGGAAAAAAGGUGCAGGCCAUUCACACAGUGAAACCAUCUGUUUCUCUGAAGCCAUGUGUUUUGGACGAAUGACUCUCAAAAAGGCUCAUGAACUUCAGUCCCUCUCCUGUGAAAUAAAAUCCUACCAUCUUGGCACCCACUACUUCUUGGAUGCUUUUUGAAAAACAGAAGCCUUGCUCCGAGGGACAUUAGUGUCUGACAUCACCCUCACUGGUGACUACAAAUCUGCAAUCCUGGCAUGAAGAAGUGGAUAGAGCUACCUUCUAAGGUGACUAAGUCAUAAGGGCCAUGAAAGAAGUUUGAGG
This is a long non-coding RNA of Lemur catta (Ring-tailed lemur), 327 nucleotides long. RefSeq lists it as uncharacterized. Lineage: Eukaryota; Metazoa; Chordata; Mammalia; Primates; Lemuridae. The record is from RefSeq and is a predicted model, not a curated record. The transcript has 5 exons.